CUAAUCUCAUCGUCUCUCUUCUCUUUUCUCUCCACUUCCUUCCGCGCCGCUUCCUCUCUGUUUUCUCCUUCGCCGUUCGUCGUUUCGUCCAACACUUUCUCAAUCUUCGAAGAGAUUGAAGACUAGACUCAAUGAGGGGAAGGAGCUACACACCGUCACCACCGAGGGGUUAUGGUAGGAGGGGCAGGAGCCCUAGCCCCCGUGGUGGUAGCCGUUACGGUGGUGGGUCGUGACAGGGAUCUACCGACCAGUCUUUUGGUUCGCAACCUUCGUCAUGAUUGCAGGCAAGAAGACCUUAGGAGGCCAUUUGAGCAGUUUGGUCCUGUCAAAGACAUCUACCUUCCAAGGGAUUAUUAUACCGGGUGAGCAUGCUCAGUAGUUAGGGCAUUAAAAUGUUUAAACACCCAAU
Molecule: long non-coding RNA, 409 nt
Organism: Raphanus sativus (radish)
Lineage: Eukaryota; Viridiplantae; Streptophyta; Magnoliopsida; Brassicales; Brassicaceae
Exons: 3
Source: RefSeq, a predicted model, not a curated record